AGUAGUUUGAUCAUGGCUCAGAGCAACGCUGGCGGCAGGCCUAACACAUGCAAGUCGAGCGCCCAGCAAUGGGAGCGGCAGACGGGAGAGUAACACGUGGGAACGUGCCCUUCAGUUCGGAACAACCAAGGGAAACUUUGGCUAAUACCGGAUACGUCCGAAAGGAGAAAGAUUUAUCGCUGAAGGAGCGGCCCGCGUCUGAUUAGCUAGUUGGUGAGGUAAUGGCUCACCAAGGCGACGAUCAGUAGCUGGUCUGAGAGGAUGAUCAGCCUCACUGGGACUGAGACACGGCCCAGACUCCUACGGGAGGCAGCAGUGGGGAAUAUUGGACAAUGGGCGCAAGCCUGAUCCAGCCAUGCCGCGUGGAUGAUGAAGGCCCUAGGGUUGUAAAGUCCUUUCGUUGGGGAAGAUAAUGACGGUACCCAAAGAAGAAGCCCCGGCUAACUUCGUG
RNAcentral lists this ribosomal RNA (451 nucleotides) under uncultured bacterium. Its description in RNAcentral is "bacterial SSU rRNA". It matches the Rfam family "Bacterial small subunit ribosomal RNA", at positions 1 to 507 of the family's 1533-position model. The record is from RNAcentral.